This 262-nucleotide ribosomal RNA is filed under the name uncultured archaeon. RNAcentral describes it as "partial 16S ribosomal RNA". It matches the Rfam family "Archaeal small subunit ribosomal RNA", at positions 748 to 1008 of the family's 1478-position model. The record is from RNAcentral.
AGGGUGUAAACGCUGCAGACUUGGUGUUGGAGGCCCUUUGGGGGCAUUCAGUGCCGGAGAGAAGUUGUUAAGUCUGCUACUUGGGGAGUACGUCCGCAAGGAUGAAACUUAAAGGAAUUGGCGGGGGGAGCACCGCAACGGGAGGAGCGUGCGGUUUAAUUGGAUUCAACACCGUAAAACUCACCAGGGAAGACUGUUACAUGAAGGCCGAGAUGAAGACUCUGCUAGAUUUUCAGAGAGGAGGUGCAUGGCGUCAGUGACU